GGUUAAGCGACUAAGCGUACACGGUGGAUGCCCUGGCAGUCAGAGGCGAUGAAGGACGUGCUAAUCUGCGAAAAGCGUCGGUAAGGUGAUAUGAACCGUUAUAGCCGGCGAUGUCCGAAUGGGGAAACCCAGUGCAAUUCGUUGCACUAUCGUUUGAUGAAUACAUAGUCAAACGAGGCGAACCGGGGGAACUGAAACAUCUAAGUACCCCGAGGAAAAGAAAUCAACCGAGAUUCCCCCAGUAGCGGCGAGCGAACGGGGAGCAGCCCGGAGUCUGAAUCAGCUUGUGUGUUAGUGGAAGCGUCUGGAAAGUCGCAGGGUACAGGGUGAUACUCCCGUACACUAAAACACACAGGCUGUGAACUCGAAGAGUAGGGCGGGACACGUGGUAUCCUGUCUGAAUAUGGGGGGACCAUCCUCCAAGGCUAAAUACUCCUGACUGACCGAUAGUGAACCAGUACCGUGAGGGAAAGGCGAAAAGAACCCCGGCGAGGGGAGUGAAAAAGAACCUGAAACCGUGUACGUACAAGCAGUAGGAGCCCACUAGUUGGGUGACUGCGUACCUUUUGUAUAAUGGGUCAGCGACUUAUAUUCUGUAGCAAGGUUAACCGUAUAGGGGAGCCGCAGGGAAACCGAGUCUUAACUGGGCGUUAAGUUGCAGGGUAUAGACCCGAAACCCGGUGAUCUAGCCAUGGGCAGGUUGAAGGUUGGGUAACACUAACUGGAGGACCGAACCGACUAAUGUUGAAAAAUUAGCGGAUGACUUGUGGCUGGGGGUGAAAGGCCAAUCAAACCGGGAGAUAGCUGGUUCUCCCCGAAAGCUAUUUAGGUAGCGCCUCGUGAACUCAUCUUCGGGGGUAGAGCACUGUUUCGGCUAGGGGGUCAUCCCGACUUACCAACCCGAUGCAAACUACGAAUACCGAAGAAUGUUAUCACGGGAGACACACGGCGGGUGCUAACGUCCGUCGUGAAGAGGGAAACAACCCAGACCGCCAGCUAAGGUCCCAAAGUCAUGGUUAAGUGGGAAACGAUGUGGGAAGGCCCAGACAGCCAGGAUGUUGGCUUAGAAGCAGCCAUCAUUUAAAGAAAGCGUAAUAGCUCACUGGUCGAGUCGGCCUGCGCGGAAGAUGUAACGGGGCUAAACCAUGCACCGAAGCUGCGGCAGCGACACUAUGUGUUGUUGGGUAGGGGAGCGUUCUGUAAGCCGUUGAAGGUGGCCUGUGAGGGUUGCUGGAGGUAUCAGAAGUGCGAAUGCUGACAUAAGUAACGAUAAUGCGGGUGAAAAACCCGCACGCCGGAAGACCAAGGGUUCCUGUCCAACGUUAAUCGGGGCAGGGUGAGUCGACCCCUAAGGCGAGGCCGAAAGGCGUAGUCGAUGGGAAACAGGUUAAUAUUCCUGUACUUGGUGUUACUGCGAAGGGGGGACGGAGAAGGCUAUGUUGGCCGGGCGACGGUUGUCCCGGUUUAAGCAUGUAGGCGGAUGUUCCAGGUAAAUCCGGAACGUCACUAACGCUGAGGUGUGAUGACGAGGCACUACGGUGCUGAAGUGACAAAUGCCCUGCUUCCAGGAAAAGCCUCUAAGCAUCAGGUAACAUCAAAUCGUACCCCAAACCGACACAGGUGGUCAGGUAGAGAAUACCAAGGCGCUUGAGAGAACUCGGGUGAAGGAACUAGGCAAAAUGGUGCCGUAACUUCGGGAGAAGGCACGCUGAUGGUAAGUGAAGUGACUUGCUCAUGGAGCUGAAAUCAGUCGAAGAUACCAGCUGGCUGCAACUGUUUAUUAAAAACACAGCACUGUGCAAACACGAAAGUGGACGUAUACGGUGUGACGCCUGCCCGGUGCCGGAAGGUUAAUUGAUGGGGUUAUCCUCACGGAGAAGCUCUUGAUCGAAGCCCCGGUAAACGGCGGCCGUAACUAUAACGGUCCUAAGGUAGCGAAAUUCCUUGUCGGGUAAGUUCCGACCUGCACGAAUGGCGUAAUGAUGGCCAGGCUGUCUCCACCCGAGACUCAGUGAAAUUGAACUCGCUGUGAAGAUGCAGUGUACCCGCGGCAAGACGGAAAGACCCCGUGAACCUUUACUAUAGCUUGACACUGAACACUGGUCCUUGAUGUGUAGGAUAGGUGGGAGGCUUUGAAGUGUGGACGCCAGUCUGCAUGGAGCCAUCCUUGAAAUACCACCCUUUAAUGGCUGGUGUUCUAACGUGGGCCCCUAAUCGGGGUUGCGGACAGUGUCUGGUGGGUAGUUUGACUGGGGCGGUCUCCUCCUAAAGAGUAACGGAGGAGCACGAAGGUCAGCUAAUCCUGGUCGGACAUCAGGAGGUUAGUGCAAUGGCAUAAGCUGGCUUGACUGCGAGCGUGACGGCGCGAGCAGGUGCGAAAGCAGGUCAUAGUGAUCCGGUGGUUCUGAAUGGAAGGGCCAUCGCUCAACGGAUAAAAGGUACUCCGGGGAUAACAGGCUGAUACCGCCCAAGAGUUCAUAUCGACGGCGGUGUUUGGCACCUCGAUGUCGGCUCAUCACAUCCUGGGGCUGAAGUAGGUCCCAAGGGUAUGGCUGUUCGCCAUUUAAAGUGGUACGCGAGCUGGGUUUAGAACGUCGUGAGACAGUUCGGUCCCUAUCUGCCGUGGGCGCUGGAGAAUUGAGGGGGGCUGCUCCUAGUACGAGAGGACCGGAGUGGACGCAUCACUGGUGUUCGGGUUGUCAUGCCAAUGGCAUUGCCCGGUAGCUAAAUGCGGAAGAGAUAAGUGCUGAAAGCAUCUAAGCACGAAACUUGCCCCGAGAUGAGUUCUCCCUGACUCCUUGAGAGUCCUGAAGGAACGUUGAAGACGACGACGUUGAUAGGCCGGGUGUGUAAGCGCAGCGAUGCGUUGAGCUAACCGGUACUAAUGAACCGUGAGGCUUAACCUU
Molecule: ribosomal RNA, 2906 nt
Filed under: Klebsiella oxytoca
Lineage: Bacteria; Pseudomonadati; Pseudomonadota; Gammaproteobacteria; Enterobacterales; Enterobacteriaceae
Description: 23S ribosomal RNA
Rfam family: Bacterial large subunit ribosomal RNA
Source: RNAcentral